UCUGUUUAGACAUAGCAUCAGUGAUGCAGAUCCAGCGAGAGCUGAUUCUACUGCCUGAACCAAAGUAAAAGGAUUCAAAUGAAUAUCCCUCAAAGAGCUUUAGAGGGUCAUUUUCAUCUUCAGCACCAUCCCAGCACUCAUCUGCCAAGAUGCUUUGGAAUUUCUGCGGCCAUCAGGCAUGUGCGAACCCUUGGACAUCUGCACAUGCGGGGCUGAUGUUCAGCAGACCCACACCGGCACUGCCAUGCUUACGACAAAGCCCACUGUGAUGGUUGGAGGCUCUGUUGGGAACUCUCCCACCCAUGUAAUGCCGGCUGCUAGAUAUUGAAAGGGAAGUUUCUGACAAAUGUGUCCACAUUUUAGAAACUUAAUUAGAUGAGCACCAAGGCUCAUGAUGGCCCUGGAGGAUGGAGUCAUAAAAGCUGCUCUUCACUGCUGCUG
This is a long non-coding RNA of Neofelis nebulosa (Clouded leopard), 441 nucleotides long. RefSeq lists it as uncharacterized. The transcript has 2 exons. NCBI's taxonomy places the organism in Eukaryota, Metazoa, Chordata, Mammalia, Carnivora, Felidae. The record is from RefSeq and is a predicted model, not a curated record.